ACCUCAACUCAGUCGUGAUUACCCGCUGAAUUUAAGCAUAUAACUAAGCGGAGGAAAAGAAACUAA
RNAcentral lists this ribosomal RNA (66 nucleotides) under Onchocerca fasciata. Its description in RNAcentral is "partial 28S ribosomal RNA". It matches the Rfam family "Eukaryotic large subunit ribosomal RNA", at positions 1 to 68 of the family's 3401-position model. Lineage: Eukaryota; Metazoa; Nematoda; Chromadorea; Rhabditida; Onchocercidae. The record is from RNAcentral.